UACGUAGGGGGCUAGCGUUGUCCGGUAUUAUUGGGCGUAAAGAGCGUGUAGGCGGCCGAGUAAGUCCGACGUGAAAUCUGGAGGCUCAACCUCCAGCGGUCGUUGGAAACUACUCGGCUAGAGUCCGGAAGAGGAGAGUGGAAUUCCUGGUGUAGCGGUGAAAUGCGCAGAUAUCAGGAAGAACACCGAUGGCGAAAGCAGCUCUCUGGGACGGUACUGACGCUGAGACGCGAAAGCGUGGGGAGCGAACAGG
This 253-nucleotide ribosomal RNA is filed under the name uncultured bacterium. Its description in RNAcentral is "partial 16S ribosomal RNA". It matches the Rfam family "Bacterial small subunit ribosomal RNA", at positions 524 to 776 of the family's 1533-position model. The record is from RNAcentral.